AACGAACGCUGGCGGCAGGCCUAACACAUGCAAGUCGAGCGAGGACUUCGGUUCUAGCGGCGGACGGGUGAGUAACGCGUGGGAAGGUGCCCUUCUCUACGGAAUAGCCCUGGGAAACGGGAAUUAAUACCGAAAACGCCCUUUUGGGGAAAGAUUUAUCGGAAAAGGAUCAGCCCGCGUUGGAUAGGGUGGUUGGUGGGGUAAUGGCCUACCAAGCGGACGAUCCAUAGCUGGUUUGAGAGGAUGAUCAGCCACACUGGGACUGAGACACGGCCCAGACUCCUACGGGAGGCAGCAGUGGGGAAUCUUAGACAAUGGGGGCAACCCUGAUCUAGCCAUGCCGCGUGAGUGAUGAAGGCCUUAGGGUUGUAAAGCUCUUUCAGCUGGGAAGAUAAUGACGGUACCAGCAGAAGAAGCCCCGGCUAACUCCGUG
This 433-nucleotide ribosomal RNA is filed under the name uncultured bacterium. RNAcentral describes it as "partial 16S ribosomal RNA". It matches the Rfam family "Bacterial small subunit ribosomal RNA", at positions 29 to 507 of the family's 1533-position model. The record is from RNAcentral.